This 465-nucleotide ribosomal RNA is filed under the name Vreelandella stevensii. RNAcentral describes it as "partial 16S ribosomal RNA". It matches the Rfam family "Bacterial small subunit ribosomal RNA", at positions 338 to 795 of the family's 1533-position model. Lineage: Bacteria; Pseudomonadati; Pseudomonadota; Gammaproteobacteria; Oceanospirillales; Halomonadaceae. The record is from RNAcentral.
CCUACGGGUGGCAGCAGUGGGGAAUAUUGGACAAUGGGCGAAAGCCUGAUCCAGCCAUGCCGCGUGUGUGAAGAAGGCCUUCGGGUUGUAAAGCACUUUCAGUGGGGAAGAAAGCCUUGGGGCUAAUACCCUCGAGGAAGGACAUCACCCACAGAAGAAGCACCGGCUAACUCCGUGCCAGCAGCCGCGGUAAUACGGAGGGUGCGAGCGUUAAUCGGAAUUACUGGGCGUAAAGCGCGCGUAGGCGGUCUGAUAAGCCGGUUGUGAAAGCCCCGGGCUCAACCUGGGAACGGCAUCCGGAACUGUCAGGCUAGAGUGCAGGAGAGGAAGGUAGAAUUCCCGGUGUAGCGGUGAAAUGCGUAGAGUUCGGGAGGAAUACCAGUGGCGAAGGCGGUCUUCUGGACUGACACUGACGCUGAGGUGCGAAAGCGUGGGUAGCAAACAGGAUUAGAUACCCCUGUAGUC